This 429-nucleotide ribosomal RNA is filed under the name uncultured bacterium. RNAcentral describes it as "bacterial SSU rRNA". It matches the Rfam family "Bacterial small subunit ribosomal RNA", at positions 355 to 776 of the family's 1533-position model. The record is from RNAcentral.
UGGGGAAUAUUGCGCAAUGGGCGAAAGCCUGACGCAGCGACGCCGCGUGGAGGAUGAAGGUCUUCGGAUUGUAAACUUCUGUUAGGUGUGAAGAAAUUCGUAGUUUUAAUAGAACUACGCGAUGACUGUAGCAUCAGAGAAAGCACUGGCUAACUUCGUGCCAGCAGCCGCGGUAAUACGAAGGGUGCAAGCGUUAUUCGGAGUGAUUGGGCGUAAAGGGUGCGUAGGCGGUAUAUUAAGUCAACUGUUAAAUUCCUCAGCCUAACUGAGGGCCAGCGGUUGAUACUGGUAUGCUAGAGAGUGGAAGAGAGAAGUGGAAUUCUCGAAGUAGCGGUCAAAUGCGUAGAUCUCGAGAGGAACACCGAUGGCGAAGGCAGCUUCUUGGUCCAUUUCUGACGCUGAGGCACGAAAGCGUGGGGAGCAAACAGG